UGAUAAGAGAGGAAUUUAACCUCGUUAGCAAAUUUACAAUCUGCCGCCUAACUCUCGGCCAUCUUACC
Molecule: transfer RNA, 68 nt
Filed under: Heloderma suspectum (Gila monster)
Lineage: Eukaryota; Metazoa; Chordata; Lepidosauria; Squamata; Helodermatidae
Description: tRNA-Tyr
Source: RNAcentral